Gasterosteus aculeatus aculeatus (three-spined stickleback) is the source of this 854-nucleotide long non-coding RNA. The record is from Ensembl. NCBI's taxonomy places the organism in Eukaryota, Metazoa, Chordata, Actinopteri, Perciformes, Gasterosteidae.
GCGGUGUGCCUGGCGUUUGAGUUGGUUUGCUUUAGUUUUAGUGUGUGGACCAGUGCAACACCAAGCAAAGAAGUACCUUUUUGUUAAUGUAAAGUGAGUCGUGUAUGAUAUUUUCUAAAGCUUUGAGGUCAGCACUAAUGCAGCGGCUGAGAUCAGAGCUUCUUGAAUGACCUGCCUUGCUAAUGAGUGACAACAACAUGAGGAAAUCCCUUUCCCGGCCUGGAAAGGGAUUUAUUGGGAAUCAUAGAGACUCAUUAUACACACAUGUAGUUUGCAAUUUUUCAACAACAAAAAAAAUAGACCUAAAUUGAAUCUGUCUACAUAAUAACAUACUUUAGAUAUCUGAACUUCCGUAUAACUAAAAUAGUGGUUUUUAGUUGUCAGUGGAGUUCAGACAAACACCUUGAUUUACAUUCUGAGCUGGCGGUAAUGGUUUAUACACGGUAAGAGUCUUAGCAAACGGCUGGAGAACCGCUCGUUAAAAGACUAAAGAGAUCAUCUUGUAAAAUCCUCACAAGUGACGUGGAUCAAGGAUAAUGGCAGCUGGGGGUGGAGGAUUUUGAGGAGGGAAAACGCUGGUGCCGGUAAACGACCUUGGAUGUAUACGGUCAUUUAGGCACCAUGAGAUUAACUGGACAUUGACACACAAACAUCUUGAUUAUCAUUUGACCCAGAACACAGCGGGCCUCUGUGCGAGAGGCCACUCGUCUCCAAGAUUGAAACGUUAUUUGAGUUUUCCCAACACAAGGUUCUUUUUAUAGUCACUGUCCCUUAGGGUACAAUAAGGAAAUGCGGAUUAAAAUCCUGUUUUGCUUCACUAGAAGAACACAAAAAAUAUAUUAUGGAGAGUGGUG